RNAcentral lists this long non-coding RNA (712 nucleotides) under Cricetulus griseus (Chinese hamster). RNAcentral's name for it is "lncRNA (ENSCGRG00015040536.1)". Lineage: Eukaryota; Metazoa; Chordata; Mammalia; Rodentia; Cricetidae. The record is from RNAcentral.
GGGUCCCGGGCUGCGCGUGCGCGGUGCGAGUCGGCGGUGCCACUUUUGUAGUUGGCAGGCGUUGCGUUGCGUCGCUGUAGCUGUGUUCCGUAGGGAGAUCCAGAUGAAGAACUCUCAGUCACCUCUCCAGCACCGUAUCUGCCUGCAUGCCACUAUGCUUCUUGCCAUGAUGAUAAUGGACUAAACCUCUGCACUAUAAGCCAACACCAAUUGAAUGUUUUCCUUUGCUUCCAGCAGAAGGUGUGGCCCAGACUAAUGGUGUGCCUUCCAGCCUCAAGGUCUGCAUUAAAGGCAUGUAUGUGUCUUCCCGCCUCAAGAUCCGGAUCACAGUUCCUCAUGUUGUGGUGACCGCCAACCAUAAAAUUAUUUUGUUGCAAGGCUGGAGAGAUGGCUCGGCAGUUAAGAGCACUGACUGUUCUUCCAGAGGUCCGGAGUUCAAUUCCCAGCAACCACAUGGUGGCUAACAACCACCUUGAAUGAGAUUUGGUGCCUUCUGCUGGCAUGCAGGCAGCAGAAGACUGUAUACAUAAUAAAUAAAAUCUUUUUUAAAAAACUAUUUUGCGGCUACUUCAUAGCUGUAAUUGUUUUUGUUUGUUUUUCGAGACAGGGUUUCUCUAUGUAGCUUUGGAGGCUGUCCUGGAACUCACUCUGGAGACCAGGCUGGCCUCGAACUCCCAGAGAUCCGCCUGCCUCUACCUCCCGAGUUCUGGAA